Molecule: small RNA, 164 nt
Filed under: Gopherus agassizii (Agassiz's desert tortoise)
Lineage: Eukaryota; Metazoa; Chordata; Testudines; Testudinidae
Description: TUC338 (ENSGAGG00000025394.1)
Source: RNAcentral
GUUACCGUUGCCUAGAGAUGAAGCCCGCUAUUUAAACACAGAACAGGUACAGCUUCAGCAGUAGCAGUGCAAACUGCCUCAGCCUUGCUUCAACCUUGACCUUGAAGGACUUCCUCUAAAUGACAGAGUGUGAAAUCCUGGCUCCCUUAAAGUAAAAGGCAAAA